RNAcentral lists this non-coding RNA (32 nucleotides) under Mus musculus (house mouse). The record is from RNAcentral. Lineage: Eukaryota; Metazoa; Chordata; Mammalia; Rodentia; Muridae.
UGAAAAUUGUCUAGUGAGUCCAUCUCUUCCAC